Molecule: ribosomal RNA, 253 nt
Filed under: uncultured bacterium
Lineage: Bacteria
Description: partial 16S ribosomal RNA
Rfam family: Bacterial small subunit ribosomal RNA
Source: RNAcentral
UACGUAGGUGGCGAGCGUUGUCCGGAUUUACUGGGCGUAAAGGGAGCGUAGGCGGACUUUUAAGUGAGAUGUGAAAUACUCGGGCUCAACUUGAGUGCUGCAUUUCAAACUGGAAGUCUAGAGUGCAGGAGAGGAGGAUGGAAUUCCUAGUCUAGCGGUGAAAUGCGUAGAGAUUAGGAAGAACACCAAUGGCGAAGGCGAUUCUCUGGACUGUAACUGACGCUGAGGCUCGAAAGCGUGGGGAGCAAACAGG